GAUGAACGCUGGCGGCGUGCUUAACACAUGCAAGUCGAACGGUGAAGCCCAGCUUGCUGGGUGGAUCAGUGGCGAACGGGUGAGUAACACGUGAGCAAUCUGCCCCUGACUCUGGGAUAAGCGCUGGAAACGGCGUCUAAUACUGGAUAUGAACCGUGGAGGCAUCUUCAACGGUUGGAAAGAUUUUUUGGUCAGGGAUGAGCUCGCGGCCUAUCAGCUUGUUGGUGAGGUAAUGGCUCACCAAGGCGUCGACGGGUAGCCGGCCUGAGAGGGUGACCGGCCACACUGGGACUGAGACACGGCCCAGACUCCUACGGGAGGCAGCAGUGGGAAUAUUGCACAAUGGGCGCAAGCCUGAUGCAGCAACGCCGCGUGAGGGAUGACGGCC
Molecule: ribosomal RNA, 388 nt
Filed under: uncultured bacterium
Lineage: Bacteria
Description: bacterial SSU rRNA
Rfam family: Bacterial small subunit ribosomal RNA
Source: RNAcentral